Non-coding RNA from Caretta caretta (loggerhead turtle), 3271 nucleotides. Lineage: Eukaryota; Metazoa; Chordata; Testudines; Cheloniidae. The record is from RefSeq and is a predicted model, not a curated record.
CUCAGGGCUGGGGCAGGAGAUUGUGGUGCAGGCUUACCUCCGGCAGCUCCCAGUUAGCGGCACAGCCAGGAUGCAGAGGCAGGCUUCCUGCCUGUCCUGUUACUGUGGACCAUGCUGUGCCCUGGAAGCAGCCAACAGUAGGUCCAGCUCCGAGACAGAGACACGCAAGUGGCUCCGCGUGGCUCUUGCCUGCAGGCACUGGCCCCCUCCCAGCUCCCAUUGGCUGGGAACCAGCUAGUGGGAGUGCAGAGCCGGUGCUUGGGGCGGGAGCAGCAUGUGGAGACCCGUGGCCCCCUGCCUACGAGCCGGACCUGCUGCUGGCCCCUUCUGGGGUGCAGCGCGGUGUCAGAACAGGUAGGAACUACUAGUUUUUACUGGCCGACCACCAGGGUCCCUGGGUGCUGAGCAAGGUGACCCAGUGCCUUGCAUUCCGUAACCUGAACUUUGAAAAACAUUGCUGUAGUGCAGUCUCUUUGUCUUGAAAGUCAAAUUCACAAAUGUAGAAUUACGUACAAAAAAUACCCCUGCAUUGAAAAACAAAACAAUGUAAACCCUUAGAGCUUUCAAGUCCACUCAGUCCUACUUUUUGGUCAGCCAAUCACUCAGACAAACAAGGUUGGUUACAAUUUGCAGGAGAUAAUGCUGCCUGCUUCUUGUUUACAAUGUCACCUGAAAGUGAGAACAGGUGUUUACAUGGCACUGUUGUAGCUGGCAUUGCAAGAUAUUUAUGUGCCAGGUGCGCUAAAGAUUCAUAUGCCCCUUCAUGUUUCAACCACCAUUCCAGAGGACACGCUUCCAUGCAGAUGAUGGAUUCUGCUUGCUAACGAUCCAAAGCAGUGCAGACUGACGCAUGUUCAUUUUCAUCAUCGGAGUCAGAUGCCACCAGCAGACGGUUCAUUUUCUUUUUUGGUGGUUCGGGUUCUGUAGUUUCCACAUCUUUUAAGACUUCUAAAAGCAUGCUCCACACUCGUCCCUCUCAGAUUUUAAACGGCGCUUCAGAUUCUUAAACCUUGGGUUAAACGGUGUAGCUAUUUUUAGAAAUCUCACAUUGUUACCUCCUUCUAUGACAGGUGAAUCCGAUGAAGUGAGCUGUAGCUCACGAAAGCUCAUGCUCAAAUAAAUUGGUUAGUCUCUAAGGUGCCACAAGUACACUUCCUUCUAUGUGUUUCAUCAGAUCUGCUGUGGAAGUGUUCUUAAAACAAACAUGUGCUGGGUCAUUAUCCGAGACUGCUAUAACAUGAAAUCUAUGCAGAAUGCAGCAUGGAAGCAUGUCCUCUGGAAUGGUGGCCGAAGCGUGGAAGGAGCAUACGAAUGUUUAGAAUAUCUGGCAUGUAAAUACCUUACAACGCCAGCUACAAAAGUGCCAUGCGAACGCCUGUUCUCACUUUCAGGUGACAUUAUAAAUAAGAAGCAGGCAGCAGUAUCUCCCGUCAAUGUAAACAAACUUGUUUGUCUUAGGGAUUGGCAGAAUAAGAAGUAGGACUGAGUGGACUUGUAGGCUCUAAAGUUUUACAUUGUUUUGUUUUUGAGUGCAGUUAUGUAACCAAAAAAAAUCUGCAUUUGUAAAUUACACUUUCAUGAUAAAGAGAUUGGACUUCAGUACAUGUAUGAGGUGAAUUAAAAAUACUGUUUCUUUUGAUUAUUAUUUUUACAGUGCAUAUAUUUGUAAUAAAAAAUAAUAAUAUAAAGUGAGCACCGUGCGGUUUGUAUUCUGUGUUGUAAUUUAAAUCAAUAUUGAAAAUGUAGAAAAACAUUCAAAAAUAUUUAAUACAUUUCAAUUGGUAUUCUAUUAUUAUAAGUGCAAUUAAUCGUGAUUAAUUUUUGAGUUAAUCGCGUGAAUUAACUGCGAUUAAUUGACAGCCCUAGUUCUUAUCUAUCUUUCAGCACUUGCACUUCCAGUUCUGCAUUCUUGUUUUAAAUACCUUGCUUUCCCCACCCACUUCUCUUUCCCUCUAACUUUCUCUUUUGUUUUUUUUCCUUCCAGAAAUGACUAAGCUUCCUGUUAUUCCACUCCGUCAAUUUUUCCCCCAAUAUUAUUUUCAUGUUGAGCAAUAUUUAUUUGCCAGCAGCUUCCUUUGGAGUUUUCCUACUCUGUCUCCAUUGUAUUUCUGUUUUUUUGCCAAUUACUUUUUAUUAUUAGCAGACAUUAUGUCCAUGCCUAUGUUACUCAAUUGAGCUCAUGUCCCAAAGUGAAGAAGAAAAAUAAUAAUCUGAAAUUAUUUUUCUCAUAAAUUCAUAGUCUCCCAGAAAAGACUGUCAGAGGGUGUUUUCAGAAAACUCAACUUUCAGUCUCCUGAAGAUAUUACACUUUGCAUUUUAAUAUAACAGAUCUUUCAUUGUCACUGUUUUAUAUACUCUGUCUUCAGUGGGAUUACUCAGAUGUGUAAAGUUACUUGUGUGUAAUAGUUUGCUGGACCUGGCCCCCAGAAUACAACUAUGUAGUUUCUACUGUACAUUCUGAACUUGCUGUUUUCAGCGUUAACCAUCUUCAGGACUUUACAGAAGUCUGUGUGUUGCUAGACUUUUUUUUUUCUUCUUCUCCUUGCUGCACUACUGACUUUGUGCGGAAAUUAACACCUUUUAGCCUCUUAAAUUAUCAUAAAACCUUGGUAUUUAGUAGAAUCCUCAUCACAACUAUAGAUUAGAGUUAGCUUUCUGAAACUUAGAGCUGAUCACAAGAGAUUAAAAUUAAGAAUUUAAUCACCACAAGCACUUCUUUCCUAAAAGCAAGAAUGAAAGCCUCCUCUGCACACACAAGAUCUCAAUCCUAAAAGCUCAGAGAAUUCACUCAAGCUUUUUCCACACUGGAAAAUGUGCUAAGGAUAAAAUUUUUCUUGGUAUAAUCCAGCUCUAGUUGAAAUCAAUGACAAAAUUCCACAUUGUUAAAAGAGAGAAAGACCAUCAAGGACAAACUACAAAAAACAAAGCAAUAAUCAAGAUACUGUUGAUGAACUGUAGUAGUCAGAAAAAAAACCCAGAGAAACAUAUGUAGCUAGAAUUGAAACACAUAAUUUGAACUAUGUGUACCUCUGUGUGGCAUUAAUGAACCUGUGUGAAACUCAGCAUGUCUUCAUGUGGUUGUGUAUCCCAUAAAUUCUGCUUUAAGUUUGGGGUUUCAGCAAGCCCCAAAACUCAAAGAAACAUCUGAAUUUCCAGCUGGUUUGCAUCAAAAUCAGAUGUAAUAUAAUGAUUUUUGAGGUGUGGUUUUGUUGUAGAACCAGAAAUAGGCCCACGGUUCAAAACCCAUUUUGUAAUAAAACUCUAAAUCAUA